AUUGAACGCUGGCGGCAUGCCUUACACAUGCAAGUCGAACGGUAACAGGUCUUCGGAUGCUGACGAGUGGCGAACGGGUGAGUAAUACAUCGGAACGUGCCCGAUCGUGGGGGAUAACGAGGCGAAAGCUUUGCUAAUACCGCAUACGAUCUACGGAUGAAAGCGGGGGAUCUUCGGACCUCGCGCGGGCGGAGCGGCCGAUGGCCGAUUAGGUUGUUGGUGGGAUAAAAGCUUACCAAGCCGACGAUCUGUAGCUGGUCUGAGAGGAUGAUCAGCCACACUGGGACUUGGACACGGCCCAGACGCCUACGGGAGGCAGCAGUGGGGAAUUUUGGACAAUGGGCGAAAGCCUGAUCCAGCCAUGCCGCGUGCAGGAUGAAGGCCUUCGGGUUGUAAACUGCUUUUGUACGGAACGAAAAGCCUCUUUCUAAUAAAGAGGGGUCAUGACGGUACCGUAAGAAUAAGCACCGGCUAACUACGUG
RNAcentral lists this ribosomal RNA (482 nucleotides) under uncultured bacterium. Its description in RNAcentral is "partial 16S ribosomal RNA". It matches the Rfam family "Bacterial small subunit ribosomal RNA", at positions 30 to 507 of the family's 1533-position model. The record is from RNAcentral.